GUAGCUAUAAUGCAGUCGACGAGAUAUUAGGCUUGCUUCUUGUGAAAGUGGCGCACGGGUGCGUAACGCGUAUGCAACCUACCUUAAUCAGGGGGAUAGCCCGAAGAAAUUCGGAUUAACACCGCAUAAAAACACAGGAUAGCAUUAUCCAAUGUUCAAAUAUUUAUAGGAUUAAGAUGGGCAUGCGUGUCAUUAGCUAGUUGGCGAGGUAACGGCCCACCAAGGCCACGAUGACUAGGGGAUCUGAGAGGAUGACCCCCCACACUGGUACUGAGACACGGACCAGACUCCUACGGGAGGCAGCAGUAAGGAAUAUUGGUCAAUGGAGGGAACUCUGAACCAGCCAUGCCGCGUGCAGGAAGACAGCCCUCUGGGUCGUAAACUGCUUUUAUUCGGGAAUAAACCUUUCUACGUGUAAGAAGCUGAAUGUACCGAAGGAAUAAGGAUCGGCUAACUCCGUGCCAGCAGCCGCGGUAAUACGGAGGAUCCAAGCGUUAUCCGGAUUUAUUGGGUUUAAAGGGUGCGUAGGCGGCUUAUUAAGUCAGGGGUGAAAGACGGUGGCUCAACCAUCGCAGUGCCCUUGAUACUGAUGAGCUUGAAUACACUAGAGGUAGGCGGAAUGUGACAAGUAGCGGUGAAAUGCAUAGAUAUGUCACAGAACACCGAUUGCGAAGGCAGCUUACUAUGGUGUUAUUGACGCUGAGGCACGAAAGCGUGGGGAUCAAACAGGAUUAGAUACCCUGGUAGUCCACGCCCUAAACGAUGAAUACUCGCUGUUAGCGAUACACAGUUAGCGGCUAAGCGAAAGCGUUAAGUAUUCCACCUGGGGG
RNAcentral lists this ribosomal RNA (830 nucleotides) under Pedobacter sp. 070605-23_H14_30. RNAcentral's name for it is "bacterial SSU rRNA". It matches the Rfam family "Bacterial small subunit ribosomal RNA", at positions 42 to 879 of the family's 1533-position model. Lineage: Bacteria; Pseudomonadati; Bacteroidota; Sphingobacteriia; Sphingobacteriales; Sphingobacteriaceae. The record is from RNAcentral.